GGAGGGCGGUGCAGGCAGGGAGGGCAGUACAGGCAGGGCAAUGCAGGGAGGGCAAGCAGUGCAGGUUGAAGAGCAGGGCAGAGAGGGCAGCGCAGAAAGGACCCGCUGCCCGUACGGGAGCAUCGCCCGCCGACAGACGCCCCGAGCUGGGUGAAGAAGUAGGGGAGGAACCCGGGAGAAAGAAAGAGGAGCGGUCGGGUCGGACUCUCUGCCGGCCGACCAUCGCCCACCCACCCCCGCCCCGUGCUCGCGGUCGGGCCAGGGAGCCCCCGCGAAGACCCCGCGAAGCCCCCCGCAGCCUCCCGCGCCGCGCGGGGCCGGCCCCGCAGCCGGACAAACAAUGUGAGACUUGGCGGAACAAAAGCGGCGGGGCUUGGGUUGCUGAACACGUCUGAGGCCAGACGAGCCGCGCGAUUUAUUGGACUCGGAGAGCCUCGGCCCCGGCUCCGAGUCCAGUCGCUGCCUCCCCCCCGGUCGGCCCCCAGCCCCGCUCUGCCCACGGGGGAGAAGCCGCUCGCGUGGGGAGCGCGGCCCAGCCACGUGCCCCCGAAACCCCUGGAGAAGAGGAGGUUGGCUUUUUCCUGCUGAUGCUGUAGACUCCAGGGGUU
Long non-coding RNA from Empidonax traillii (willow flycatcher), 608 nucleotides. RefSeq lists it as uncharacterized. NCBI's taxonomy places the organism in Eukaryota, Metazoa, Chordata, Aves, Passeriformes, Tyrannidae. The record is from RefSeq and is a predicted model, not a curated record. The transcript is spliced from 3 exons.